RNAcentral lists this non-coding RNA (1237 nucleotides) under Pan troglodytes (chimpanzee). The record is from RNAcentral. Lineage: Eukaryota; Metazoa; Chordata; Mammalia; Primates; Hominidae.
CUGAAUAUCUCAGAGGCGCACCUGGGCGGCCAGCUGGGCUCGGAGUGCAGCGGGGUUAGGGUGGACGAGGACGUGUUGCACCCUGAAGAGCCUCAUCAUCGCCUGCUCUUGAGGUUCACAGAUGAUACCUUUGAUCCAGAACUUGCAGCAACAAUAGAUCCAUCUUCGGUUGUGAAUCCGGCCCGGGAUGCAGCCACCCCUUAGAGCAACCCCCCCUGCUGCUCGUGCCCUGCUGUGCUACUGCCUCAGUCACUUCCUGCUUGGUCAAGACCACAGCUGCUGAUGUCACAGCUGAGGCACAUCAAAAAGGCUGCCUGAUUCAAAGAAAGCUGCCGGAUAAAUCAUAGAACACAGACACUUCUACCUCAUGCUCUUAUGGGACUUUAGGAACCAAACAUAAGCACCUAUGGAAAAUGCACGGCGGUCUUGAAAGGCUGUGGUCUUUCAAGAAAAUAUCUGAAUGACUGUCUGUCAGUCCUACUCUGCAGGCUUGCUAAGAUGAUGAUUGAAAGGGCUCUUGGUUUCUGCUUUGGAAUCUGGCAUUUAUGUUUUGAAGCGUUGUGAGCAAGCGAUGUGGCAGAUUGCAGGGUGAGGGGGACAAACCUGGGCCAGGAGCCAGGGGUUUCUCUACCCCCUUCCCUGACUUACAGCUGGAACUGGGCUCAGUGGUUUCAGCCUCUUUUGCUAAGAAGGUCUGGGUAUGUAAUCCUGGCUGCACCUUAAAAUCCCUGGGAGCUUUUAAGACAUAUUGACACAUAAGCUCUAACUCACAUGAAACGAAAACACAUCUCUGGGGCAGGGCUGAGCAAAUGCAUUUUUUAAAAGGCCCCUCAGGUGAUUCUGUCUCAGAGAUGUUGAAAACCAGUGGGUUAGGAGCUCAGUCAUCCACUUUCAGAUCUGUGAUUAUGCCACUAUUAAAUACAGUUGGCUAUCACAUAGAUUUUAUGCUUUAGCUUGUUCUUUUUUCCUUUGCUAUACCAAAUAAAAUCUUUUGAGCUGUAGUUCCAGUCCUUAAAAUAAUGGUUGUUACCAUACUGAGGUUAAACAUUAGUGCAUUUGCUUAACAAGGACUUUAAAACUUAUCACACUGCCAUAAUUUUUAAUGGUUUCUAUAAUGAUUAAUUAAUAAGAAAAUCAAUAAUUGGAUUUUAAGCAGGAAACUAGGCAGGAAAGUUGAAAUUCAUAGACCAAUUCAAUGGAAAACAUUAAAAUGUAUUGGGAGAUGCCCAAUAUUCUA